UUUCAGUAUUGAUGCUGAUGAGGAGAAGCUUAUACUGUAUGAACGGACUGAAGUAACUGAUCACGAACUGAUUCCUGGUGGUCGGAACAUUAAAGUUACUGAGGAAAACAAGCACCAAUAUGUCGAUUUAGUUGCUGAGCAUCGGUUGACAACUGCUAUCCGUCCUCAAAUAAAUGCCUUUUUGGAGGGAUUCAAUGAAUUAAUUUCUAGGGAAUUGAUAUCCAUCUUUAAUGACAAGGAAUUAGAAUUGUUGAU
RNAcentral lists this unclassified non-coding RNA (255 nucleotides) under Hevea brasiliensis (rubber tree). The record is from RNAcentral. Lineage: Eukaryota; Viridiplantae; Streptophyta; Magnoliopsida; Malpighiales; Euphorbiaceae.